UCGUGCUUUGUACAAGUGAUCUGGAGAUAGGUGAGAGUUGUUUCUGGUACCUACUGGUGGUAGGGAAUUCAAAUUUGAAUUUGAAUUAAAGAUUUUAGGGUUUAUGCUUUGGUAUAUGUGCGAUAUACGGAUUAAUUAGAGAGCGGGUGGGUUCCGUCGCGAAUCCGUGACCAAAUCUGACGAAACAAGAUGGUAGUUUGGAUGCCCUCGUCGUGCUGAACGCGAUGGUGCAAUCCGUUCAGAAAUCCGAUAAACGGAUUGUCGGAUAUUGCUUGAAGUUCGCUAAGGGGUCGAGAGUGGAAAAUCAGGAAAUUCGCAAGAGUCGCAAUAUUUUAUGUGCCGAAUUGCGUGAGAUCGGACAUGGAGGUGCGUAUGUGUAAAAUACGCAUGCUGUGAGGGACUUGACUGAGAAUUUUAU
This 418-nucleotide long non-coding RNA is filed under the name Ananas comosus (pineapple). Its description in RNAcentral is "long non-coding RNA (ACOM_LNC044651)". Lineage: Eukaryota; Viridiplantae; Streptophyta; Magnoliopsida; Poales; Bromeliaceae. The record is from RNAcentral.